This 236-nucleotide unclassified non-coding RNA is filed under the name uncultured fungus. Its description in RNAcentral is "sequence contains ITS2". The record is from RNAcentral. Lineage: Eukaryota; Fungi.
AACGCACAUUGCACCCCUUGGUAUUCCGAGGGGUAUGCCUGUUCGAGCGUCAUUAUAAUAAUCAAGCUUCGCUUGGUAUUAGAGUCCGCCUACAGCGGCUCCUAAACUCAGUGGCUGUGCCGUGUGGUAUUAAGCGUAGUAAUCUCCCUCGCUAUAAUUCCAGACAGUAACUCGCCAUAUAACCCCAAUCUUCAAAGGUUGACCUCGGAUCAGGUAGGGAUACCCGCUGAACUUAA